AUGAAUCACCAGAAGCUACAUUCUACCGUAAACGCUGUUCUUAGUGGAAGAUGUACUUCUUUGAUACUACCUUCUCUAAUGGUCCCUGUGUUCUUGGAACAGUUGCCUCCUGUGAACAGCAAUGACCAUGCCAGUCUCCAUACGGUGUGCAGCUUGAUGAAAUGUUCCAACCCUUUGAAUCCUGUCAUCUAUGAGGCUCAGCACAGGUUGAAGUGGUUCUGAUCUGGAGGGACUUCUUGGGACUCAGACCCUCCUUUCUGAAACACCUAAAAGCUUCUGGGGGUCUGGAGCUUACAAGCAGCUCAGAACUGUCCAGCCUUUCUGAAGCUGUUGCCUGCCAUGAGCUGGGGAGCGUGCCUGUCAACCCACGUCUGGAUUUGAAAAGGUACACUGCUAUGUAUCUGUGCAAGACAGCUGAGAAGCGUUUGGGGUAGAGCAAGAGAGAGAUCUGUCCCACCCCACUUGGAUUGCACUGUUUUCAUUGUUUAAUUCUGGGGUAGAGUCUACAUAAUUUUAAUUAAGUAACAGGUACUUUGCUGUUGCUCUGGAAUUACAUUAGUACCAGCAACAUCAGACCUGAGCCCGUCCCUCUUCUUUUUCUCCUCCUUUAUUUUUAAAUUUGAG
RNAcentral lists this long non-coding RNA (624 nucleotides) under Struthio camelus australis. Its description in RNAcentral is "lncRNA (ENSSCUG00000004561.1)". Lineage: Eukaryota; Metazoa; Chordata; Aves; Struthioniformes; Struthionidae. The record is from RNAcentral.